CGCGGGGUGGAGCAGUGGUAGCUCGUCAGGCUCAUAACCUGAAGGUCGUGCGUUCGAAUCGUACCCCCGCAA
Molecule: transfer RNA, 72 nt
Filed under: Candidatus Dojkabacteria bacterium
Lineage: Bacteria
Description: tRNA-Met
Rfam family: tRNA
About the family: Transfer RNA (tRNA) molecules are approximately 80 nucleotides in length. Their secondary structure includes four short double-helical elements and three loops (D, anti-codon, and T loops). Further hydrogen bonds mediate the characteristic L-shaped molecular structure. tRNAs have two regions of fundamental functional importance: the anti-codon, which is responsible for specific mRNA codon recognition, and the 3' end, to which the tRNAs corresponding amino acid is attached (by aminoacyl-tRNA synthetases). tRNAs cope with the degeneracy of the genetic code in two manners: having more than one tRNA (with a specific anti-codon) for a particular amino acid; and 'wobble' base-pairing, i.e. permitting non-standard base-pairing at the 3rd anti-codon position.
Source: RNAcentral